GUCCACGCCGUAAACUAUGGAUGCUAGCUGUUAUGAGUAUCGACCCUCGUAGUAGCGAAGCUAACGCGUUAAGCAUCCCGCCUGUGGAGUACGAGCGCAAGCUUAAAACAUAAAGGAAUUGACGGGGACCCCGCACAAGCGGUGGAGCGUGUUGUUUAAUUCGAUGCUAAGCGAAGAACCUUACCCAGGCUUGACAUCCUUGGAAUUUCUCCGAAAGGAGAGAGUGCUUUAUUGAGCCAAGUGACAGGUGCUGCAUGGCCGUCGU
RNAcentral lists this ribosomal RNA (265 nucleotides) under uncultured bacterium. Its description in RNAcentral is "partial 16S ribosomal RNA". It matches the Rfam family "Bacterial small subunit ribosomal RNA", at positions 793 to 1055 of the family's 1533-position model. The record is from RNAcentral.